CACUGAAUGGAAUGAAACCAAACAUGGCAUGAAUCUUCCUUAUGAGAUGCUCACCAAGUGUUGUUACUUUGUAGCCGAUCCAUCAUCCAAAAUGGCCGCCAGCGGGGGACUUAGUUUAACAAAGGACCUAUGGGAAAUACAUACAAAUGUCUUCUUUUAGAGAACCACUGAAUGGAAUGAAACCAAACAUGGCAUGAAUCUUCCUUAUGAGAUGCUGACCAAGUGUUGUUACUUUGUAGCCGAUCCAUCAUCCAAGAUGGCCGCCAGUGGGGGACUUAGUUUUACAUAGGACCCUUUGGGAAAUACAUAAAAAUGUCUUCUUAUAGAGAACCAAUAAAUGGAAUGGAACCAAACAUGGCAUGAAUGUUCCUUAUGUGAUGUUGACCAAGUGUUGUUACUUUGCAGCCGAUCCAUCAUCCAAGAUGGCCGAAAGCGGGGGACUUAGUUUAACAUAGGACCCUAUGAGAAAUACAUACAAUUGUCUUCUUUUAGAGAACCACUGAAUGGAAUUGAACCAAACAUGGCAUGAAUGUUCCUUAUGAGUUGCUGACCAAGUGUUGUUACUUUUUCAGUCGAUCCAUCAUCCAAGAUGGCCUCUAGGGGGGGGGGGGGCUUAGUUUAACAUAGGACCCUAUGGGAAAUACAUACAAAUGUCUUCUUUUAGAGUACCACUAAAUGGAAUGAAACCAAACAUGGCAUGAAUGUUCCUUAUGAAGUGCUGACCAAGUGUUGCUACUUUGUUGCCGAUUUACUGUUCAAGAUGGCCACCAGGAUAUUUUAUAAAAUAACGGGACCAAUAUUAAUCAAAAUUUGGCCUCAAUCAUUAUUUGGGUAUCUGUUAUGAUUUUUAUCUAUCUUUACAUGAUUUCUAAAACAAAGUAGAGUCAGGUGAGCGACACAGGCUCUUGAGAGCCUCUAGUUUGAGUU
Long non-coding RNA from Mytilus californianus (California mussel), 927 nucleotides. RefSeq lists it as uncharacterized. The transcript has 2 exons. NCBI's taxonomy places the organism in Eukaryota, Metazoa, Mollusca, Bivalvia, Mytilida, Mytilidae. The record is from RefSeq and is a predicted model, not a curated record.